Molecule: ribosomal RNA, 497 nt
Filed under: uncultured bacterium
Lineage: Bacteria
Description: partial 16S ribosomal RNA
Rfam family: Bacterial small subunit ribosomal RNA
Source: RNAcentral
GAUGAACGCUGGCGGCGUGCCUAAUACAUGCAAGUCGAGCGAACGGACGAGAAGCUUGCUUCUCUGAUGUUAGCGGCGGACGGGUGAGUAACACGUGGAUAACCUACCUAUAAGACUGGGAUAACUUCGGGAAACCGGAGCUAAUACCGGAUGAUAUUUUGAACCGCAUGGUUCAAAAGUGAAAGACGGUCUUGCUGUCACUUAUAGAUGGAUCCGCGCUGCAUUAGCUAGUUGGUAAGGUAACGGCUUACCAAGGCAACGAUGCAUAGCCGACCUGAGAGGGUGAUCGGCCACACUGGAACUGAGACACGGUCCAGACUCCUACGGGAGGCAGCAGUAGGGAAUCUUCCGUAAUGGGCGAAAGCCUGACGGAGCAACGCCGCGUGAGUGAUGAAGGUCUUCGGAUCGUAAAACUCUGUUAUUAGGGAAGAACAUAUGUGUAAGUAACUGUGCACAUCUUGACGGUACCUAAUCAGAAAGCCACGGCUAACUACGUG